Molecule: ribosomal RNA, 1473 nt
Filed under: uncultured organism
Description: 16S ribosomal RNA
Rfam family: Bacterial small subunit ribosomal RNA
Source: RNAcentral
GGCUCAGGAUGAACGCUGGCGGCGUGCCUAAUACAUGCAAGUCGAGCGAACGGACGAGAAGCUUGCUUCUCUGAUGUUAGCGGCGGACGGGUGAGUAACACGUGGAUAACCUACCUAUAAGACUGGGAUAACUUCGGGAAACCGGAGCUAAUACCGGAUAAUAUUUUGAACCGCAUGGUUCAAAAGUGAAAGACGGUCUUGCUGUCACUUAUAGAUGGAUCCGCGCUGCAUUAGCUAGUUGGUAAGGUAACGGCUUACCAAGGCAACGAUGCAUAGCCGACCUGAGAGGGUGAUCGGCCACACUGGAACUGAGACACGGUCCAGACUCCUACGGGAGGCAGCAGUAGGGAAUCUUCCGCAAUGGGCGAAAGCCUGACGGAGCAACGCCGCGUGAGUGAUGAAGGUCUUCGGAUCGUAAAACUCUGUUAUUAGGGAAGAACAUAUGUGUAAGUAACUGUGCACAUCUUGACGGUACCUAAUCAGAAAGCCACGGCUAACUACGUGCCAGCAGCCGCGGUAAUACGUAGGUGGCAAGCGUUAUCCGGAAUUAUUGGGCGUAAAGCGCGCGUAGGCGGUUUUUUAAGUCUGAUGUGAAAGCCCACGGCUCAACCGUGGAGGGUCAUUGGAAACUGGAAAACUUGAGUGCAGAAGAGGAAAGUGGAAUUCCAUGUGUAGCGGUGAAAUGCGCAGAGAUAUGGAGGAACACCAGUGGCGAAGGCGACUUUCUGGUCUGUAACUGACGCUGAUGUGCGAAAGCGUGGGGAUCAAACAGGAUUAGAUACCCUGGUAGUCCACGCCAUAAACGAUGAGUGCUAAGUGUUAGGGGGUUUCCGCCCCUUAGUGCCGCAGCUAACGCAUUAAGCACUCCGCCUGGGGAGUACGACCGCAAGGUUGAAACUCAAAGGAAUUGACGGGGACCCGCACAAGCGGUGGAGCAUGUGGUUUAAUUCGAAGCAACGCGAAGAACCUUACCAAAUCUUGACAUCCUUUGACAACUCUAGUGAUAGAGCCUUCCCCUUCGGGGGACAAAGUGACAGGUGGUGCAUGGUUGUCGUCAGCUCGUGUCGUGAGAUGUUGGGUUAAGUCCCGCAACGAGCGCAACCCUUAAGCUUAGUUGCCAUCAUUAAGUUGGGCACUCUAAGUUGACUGCCGGUGACAAACCGGAGGAAGGUGGGGAUGACGUCAAAUCAUCAUGCCCCUUAUGAUUUGGGCUACACACGUGCUACAAUGGACAAUACAAAGGGCAGCGAAACCGCGAGGUCAAGCAAAUCCCAUAAAGUUGUUCUCAGUUCGGAUUGUAGUCUGCAACUCGACUACAUGAAGCUGGAAUCGCUAGUAAUCGUAGAUCAGCAUGCUACGGUGAAUACGUUCCCGGGUCUUGUACACACCGCCCGUCACACCACGAGAGUUUGUAACACCCGAAGCCGGUGGAGUAACCUUUUAGGAGCUAGCCGUCGAAGGUGGGACAAAUGA